This 1457-nucleotide ribosomal RNA is filed under the name metagenome. RNAcentral's name for it is "bacterial SSU rRNA". It matches the Rfam family "Bacterial small subunit ribosomal RNA". The record is from RNAcentral.
UGCAAGUCGAACGGUAUCCUCGAUGCUUGCAUUGAGGAGAGAGUGGCGAACGGGUGCAUAACACGUGUAAUCUACCUUUAAGAUUGGGAUAACUAUCCGAAAGGAUGGCUAAUACUGGAUAAUAUGCCAUUUGCAUAAGCAGGAGGCAUUAAAGAUGGGGAUCGUAAGACCUAUCACUUAAAGAUGAGCCCGCGGCCCAUUAGCUUGUUGGUGGGGUAAAGGCCUACCAAGGCUGUGAUGGGUAGCCGGCCUGAGAGGGUGAACGGCCACAUUGGGACUGAGAUACGGCCCAGACUCCUACGGGAGGCAGCAGUUAAGAAUCUUGGACAAUGGACGCAAGUCUGAUCCAGCGACGCCGCGUGAAUGAUGAAGGUCUUCGGAUUGUAAAGUUCAGUAAGAUGGGAAGAAAAAGUAUCGGCUAAUAUUCGGUACUCUGACGGUACCAUUCUAAAGCCACGGCUAAAUACGUGCCAGCAGCCGCGGUAAUACGUAUGUGGCAAGCGUUGUUCGGAAUUAUUGGGCAUAAAGGGCAUCUAGGCGGGGUACUAAGUCGGGUGUGAAAUUUUCAGGCUUAACUUGAAAACUGCAUUCGAUACUGGUACUCUUGAGUCUCGGAGAGGAAGGCGGAAUUCCUGGUGUAGCGGUGAAAUGCGUAGAUAUCAGGAAGAACACCGGUGGCGAAGGCGGCCUUCUGGCCUAAGACUGACGCUCAAGUGCGAAAGCGUGGGGAGCAAACGGGAUUAGAUACCCCGGUAGUCCACGCCGUAAACGUUGUAUACUAGGUGUUAGAGGUUUACCUCUAGUGCCGUCGUAAAUGCAUUAAGUAUACCGCCUGGGGAGUACGCUCGCAAGGGUGAAACUCAAAGAAAUUGACGGGGGCCCGCACAAGCGGUGGAGCAUGUGGUUUAAUUCGACGAUACGCGAGAAACCUUACCUGGGCUUGAACUGUGCAUGACAGGUGUAGAGAUACACCCUCCCUUCGGGGCAUGUAUAGAGGUGCUGCAUGGUUGUCGUCAGCUCGUGUCGUGAGAUGUUGGGUUAAGUCCCGCAACGAGCGCAACCCUUACGCUUUGUUGCUAACAGGUAAUGCUGAGCACUCUAAGCGAACUGCCGGUGACAAACCGGAGGAAGGUGAGGAUGACGUCAAAUCAUCACGGCCCUUACGUCCAGGGCUACACACGUGCUACAAUGGCUGGUACAGAUGGUUGCCAAACCGUAAGGUGGAGCUAAUCCCAGAAAACCAGUCUCAGUUCGGAUUGGGGUCUGCAACCCGACCCCAUGAAGUCGGAAUCGCUAGUAAUCGCAGAUCAGAAUGCUGCGGUGAAUACGUUCCCGGGCCUUGUACACACCGCCCGUCACACCAUCCGAGUUGGCUGCACCCGAAGUGGCUGAUCUAACCGCAAGGAGGAAGGUUACUAAGGUGAAGCUAGUGAGGAGGGUGAAGUCGUAACAAGGUA